GCCUGGGUGGCUCAGUCGGUUGAGCGUCCGACUUCGGCUCAGGUCAUGAUCUCACGGUUGGUGGGUUCGAGCCCCACAUCGGGCU
RNAcentral lists this transfer RNA (85 nucleotides) under Felis catus (domestic cat). It matches the Rfam family "tRNA". From Rfam's summary of the family: Transfer RNA (tRNA) molecules are approximately 80 nucleotides in length. Their secondary structure includes four short double-helical elements and three loops (D, anti-codon, and T loops). The record is from Rfam by way of RNAcentral. Lineage: Eukaryota; Metazoa; Chordata; Mammalia; Carnivora; Felidae.